Molecule: microRNA precursor, 206 nt
Organism: Oryza sativa Japonica Group (Japanese rice)
Lineage: Eukaryota; Viridiplantae; Streptophyta; Magnoliopsida; Poales; Poaceae
Rfam family: MIR812 microRNA precursor family
Source: Rfam
AAAAAGACAAACCCUGGGUUUACGUGUCCAACUUUGACUGUCCGUCUUAUAUGAAAUUUUUUUAUAAUUCGUAUUUUUAUUGUUGUUCGAUGAUAAAAUAUGAUUAAUAUUUUAUGUGUGACUUGUCUUUUUAUUUUUUUUUCAUAAUUUUUUUAAAUAAGACAGACGGUCAAACAUUGGACACGGAAAACAGGGUUUGUCUUUUU